AGAGUUUGAUCCUGGCUCAGGACGAACGCUGGCGGCGUGCCUAAUACAUGCAAGUAGAACGCUGAAGAGAGGAGCUUGCUCUUCUUGGAUGAGUUGCGAACGGGUGAGUAACGCGUAGGUAACCUGCCUUGUAGCGGGGGAUAACUAUUGGAAACGAUAGCUAAUACCGCAUAACAAUGGAUGACACAUGUCAUUUAUUUGAAAGGGGCAAUUGUUCCACUACAAGAUGGACCUGCGUUGUAUUAGCUAGUAGGUGAGGUAAUGGCUCACCUAGGCGACGAUACAUAGCCGACCUGAGAGGGUGAUCGGCCACACUGGGACUGAGACACGGCCCAGACUCCUACGGGAGGCAGCAGUAGGGAAUCUUCGGCAAUGGGGGCAACCCUGACCGAGCAACGCCGCGUGAGUGAAGAAGGUUUUCGGAUCGUAAAGCUCUGUUGUAAGUCAAGAACGGGUGUGAGAGUGGAAAGUUCACACUGUGACGGUAGCUUACCAGAAAGGGACGGCUAACUACGUGCCAGCAGCCGCGGUAAUACGUAGGUCCCGAGCGUUGUCCGGAUUUAUUGGGCGUAAAGCGAGCGCAGGCGGUUUGAUAAGUCUGAAGUUAAAGGCUGUGGCUCAACCAUAGUUCGCUUUGGAAACUGUCAAACUUGAGUGCAGAAGGGGAGAGUGGAAUUCCAUGUGUAGCGGUGAAAUGCGUAGAUAUAUGGAGGAACACCGGUGGCGAAAGCGGCUCUCUGGUCUGUAACUGACGCUGAGGCUCGAAAGCGUGGGGAGCGAACAGGAUUAGAUACCCUGGUAGUCCACGCCGUAAACGAUGAGUGCUAGGUGUUGGAUCCUUUCCGGGAUUCAGUGCCGCAGCUAACGCAUUAAGCACUCCGCCUGGGGAGUACGACCGCAAGGUUGAAACUCAAAGGAAUUGACGGGGGCCCGCACAAGCGGUGGAGCAUGUGGUUUAAUUCGAAGCAACGCGAAGAACCUUACCAGGUCUUGACAUCCCGAUGCUAUUUCUAGAGAUAGAAAGUUACUUCGGUACAUCGGUGACAGGUGGUGCAUGGUUGUCGUCAGCUCGUGUCGUGAGAUGUUGGGUUAAGUCCCGCAACGAGCGCAACCCCUAUUGUUAGUUGCCAUCAUUCAGUUGGGCACUCUAGCGAGACUGCCGGUAAUAAACCGGAGGAAGGUGGGGAUGACGUCAAAUCAACAUGCCCCUUAUGACCUGGGCUACACACGUGCUACAAUGGUUGGUACAACGAGUUGCGAGUCGGUGACGGCGAGCUAAUCUCUUAAAGCCAAUCUCAGUUCGGAUUGUAGGCUGCAACUCGCCUACAUGAAGUCGGAAUCGCUAGUAAUCGCGGAUCAGCACGCCGCGGUGAAUACGUUCCCGGGCCUUGUACACACCGCCCGUCACACCACGAGAGUUUGUAACACCCGAAGUCGGUGAGGUAACCUUUUGGAGCCAGCCGCCUAAGGUGGGACAGAUGAUUGGGGUGAAGUCGUAACAAGGUA
RNAcentral lists this ribosomal RNA (1506 nucleotides) under metagenome. Its description in RNAcentral is "bacterial SSU rRNA". It matches the Rfam family "Bacterial small subunit ribosomal RNA". The record is from RNAcentral.